This 307-nucleotide long non-coding RNA is filed under the name Brassica napus (rape). RNAcentral describes it as "long non-coding RNA (BNAP_LNC015144)". Lineage: Eukaryota; Viridiplantae; Streptophyta; Magnoliopsida; Brassicales; Brassicaceae. The record is from RNAcentral.
GCUAUGUCUGCCCCAGCUAUCUUAGGUCCUCCCUAUACGAUAGCAGUUUUCUAAAAGCUAUUAUAUUUGAGACAUAUUAUAGCGUUGUUUUUAACUUGCUAUCGUAUGUUCUAUCAUAGUGAUCUAUCAAUGCUAUAUCUAUUAUCGAUUAUGUACUAUUAGAAACUGUUCCUAAAAACAUGUUUUGCUGCAAAUUAGAUUUACAUAAAAAUUAAUAUUCAAUUAAUAUUUCAUUAAUAAAACCAAAAUGUACUUGCAUACCACAAACAUGUAUACAUUUUCAUCAAACCUUACACGGACAUCAUUA